RNAcentral lists this ribosomal RNA (312 nucleotides) under Triticum aestivum (bread wheat). Its description in RNAcentral is "partial small subunit ribosomal RNA". Lineage: Eukaryota; Viridiplantae; Streptophyta; Magnoliopsida; Poales; Poaceae. The record is from RNAcentral.
AUGGUCUCUCGCCUGCUGAAUGUGAGCGUCCUGGAGACAACGAAGCCGAUCACGGUGGGGUACCGCGUGAAGCUGUCCUCUGGAGAGGCUGUGGACGUGGAGGCCAGCCAGAUGAUUAGGUGGGAGAGGGAGAGCUCAAAGCUGUAUGUUCAGCAAAGCAAUGGUGCUGGUGCUGCAGCUGGUUACAAAGAGAAGAUCGAGUUUGCGAAAAACUUUGCUGACGAGGUAGCCCGAGGACUGCUCUUCGAGACGCCGGACCGCAUCCCUUCGCUUGCUGAACUCGUGAAGGUCGGCAGCCUGGUGGACUUCUAG